RNAcentral lists this ribosomal RNA (497 nucleotides) under uncultured bacterium. Its description in RNAcentral is "partial 16S ribosomal RNA". It matches the Rfam family "Bacterial small subunit ribosomal RNA", at positions 28 to 507 of the family's 1533-position model. The record is from RNAcentral.
GAUGAACGCUGGCGGCGUGCCUAAUACAUGCAAGUCGAGCGAACGGACGAGAAGCUUGCUUCUCUGAUGUUAUCGGCGGACGGGUGAGUAACACGUGGAUAACCUAACUAUCAGACGGGGAUAACUUCGGGAAACCGGAGCUAAUACCGGAUGAUAUUUUGAACCGCAUGGUUCAAAAGUGAAAGACGGUCUUGCUUUCACUUAUAGAUGGAUCCGCGCUGCAUUAGCUAGUUGGUAAGGUAACGGCUUACCAAGGCAACGAUGCAUAGCCGUCCUCAGCGGGUCGUUGGCUAGCCUGUCAGUGAGACACGUCCCAGACUCCGACGCGGGGCCGCAGUAGGGAAUCUUCCGCGAUGGACGAGUGCCUGACGGAGCAACGCCGCGUGAGUGAUGAAGGUGCUCUGAUCGUAGAGCUCUGUUAUCCGUGAAGUACAAAUGCGUAAGUAACCGUGAACAUCUUGACGGUACCUAAUCAGUAAGCCACGGCUAACUACGUG